GACGAACGCUGGCGGCGUGCUUGACACAUGCAAGUCGAACGGAAAGGCCUGCUUUCCCUUGUGGAUUGCGGGUACUCGAGUGGCGAACGGGUGAGUAACACGUGAGUGAUCUGCCCCCAACUUGGGUAUAAGCCUGGGAAACUGGGUCUAAUUCCCGAUAGGACUGCAGGGUGGUGCCUGUGGUGGAAAACGAUUUUCUAGUGGUUGGGGAUGAGCUCGCGGCCUAUCAGCUUGUUGGUGGGGUAAUGGCCUACCAAGGCGGCGACGGGUAGCCGGCCUGGGAGGGUGGACGGCCACAUUGGGACUGAGAUACGGCCCAGACUCCUACGGGAGGCAGCAGUGGGGAAUAUUGCACAAUGGGCGGAAGCCUGAUGCAGCGACGCCGCGUGGGGGAUGACGGCCUUCGGGUUGUAAACUCCUUUCGACCGCGAGGAAGCCACCUGGUUGGAAGGGUGGUGACGGUAGUGGUAGAAGAAGCACCGGCUAACUACGUG
This 494-nucleotide ribosomal RNA is filed under the name uncultured bacterium. RNAcentral's name for it is "partial 16S ribosomal RNA". It matches the Rfam family "Bacterial small subunit ribosomal RNA", at positions 28 to 507 of the family's 1533-position model. The record is from RNAcentral.